This 253-nucleotide ribosomal RNA is filed under the name uncultured bacterium. RNAcentral describes it as "partial 16S ribosomal RNA". It matches the Rfam family "Bacterial small subunit ribosomal RNA", at positions 524 to 776 of the family's 1533-position model. The record is from RNAcentral.
UACGUAGGGUGCGAGCGUUAAUCGGAAUUACUGGGCGUAAAGCGUGCGCAGGCGGUUUUGUAAGCCAGAUGUGAAAUCCCCGGGCUUAACCUGGGAAUGGCAUUUGGGACUGCAAGGCUGGAGUGUGGCAGAGGAGACUGGAAUUCCCGGUGUAGCAGUGAAAUGCGUAGAUAUCGGGAGGAACACCAGUGGCGAAGGCGGCGACCUGGGCCAAUAUUGACGCUGAGGUGCGAAAGCGUGGGGAGCAAACAGG